Molecule: ribosomal RNA, 395 nt
Filed under: uncultured bacterium
Lineage: Bacteria
Description: bacterial SSU rRNA
Rfam family: Bacterial small subunit ribosomal RNA
Source: RNAcentral
GUGUCAGCAGCCGCGGUAAUACAGAGGUGGCAAGCGUUGUUCGGAAUUACUGGGCGUAAAGGGCGCGUAGGCGGCCUUCUAAGUCAGACGUGAAAUCCCCCGGCUUAACCUGGGAACUGCGUCUGAUACUGGAAGGCUUGAGUGCGGGAGAGGGAUGUGGAAUUCCAGGUGUAGCGGUGAAAUGCGUAGAUAUCUGGAGGAACACCGGUGGCGAAGGCGGCAUCCUGGACCGACACUGACGCUGAGGCGCGAAAGCUAGGGUAGCAAACGGGAUUAGAUACCCCGGUAGUCCUAGCCCUAAACGAUGAGUGCUUGGUGUGGCGGGUAUCGAUCCCUGCCGUGCCGAAGCUAACGCAUUAAGCACUCCGCCUGGGGAGUACGGUCGCAAGGCUGAA